GUGGAAGGUGGUGCUCCUGGGUCUAUACACAGUAUUGGCUGUGAGGGGAUUGGCGAAGGGUGCUCCUUUCCAACCAGAAGAAAAGUGGAAGCCUCUAGAUAACCCUAGAAACAGAGACCUGUUUUUCAGAACACUCCAGGCCUAUUUUUCGGGCAGGGGUCUUGAUCUCAGAAAGUUCCCAGCUACUUUCACUAUGAACAAUGAAGGACCAAGGCCUGUCACGUUCUACUCGGAUCCUAUUGCUUCUGCAUUUGCAGAUUAUGAAGAAAGGAGAAAUUCUUUUCCAAAUUAUUUCAAAGGCUGAAAGAUGCUGCUGACCAAGGCGUUAACUUUUGAACUUCAUGUGAAGUGGUAACCUUCUCAGCAAAAUAUUACUGCUUUGACUUUUUAACUGUUACCUGACAACUUAAAAGUUUUCCUCACUGUCACAGGUUUUACCUGUGGAAUCUGAUGCCAUGCUGUAAUUAGCACGUUUGCUGUCUAUUGGCAGAUGUUGUCAUGUUUGGCUGUUGCAGUUUGCCUGCCAGAACAGAAUCGUGUUUGUUUAAACGUUGAAUAAAUGACGAGUGCAACAGAGUGCUUUGAGCUAC
This 590-nucleotide long non-coding RNA is filed under the name Calidris pugnax (ruff). RNAcentral's name for it is "lncRNA (ENSCPUG00000008352.1)". Lineage: Eukaryota; Metazoa; Chordata; Aves; Charadriiformes; Scolopacidae. The record is from RNAcentral.